Long non-coding RNA from Chinchilla lanigera (long-tailed chinchilla), 5492 nucleotides. RefSeq lists it as uncharacterized. Lineage: Eukaryota; Metazoa; Chordata; Mammalia; Rodentia; Chinchillidae. The transcript is spliced from 3 exons. The record is from RefSeq and is a predicted model, not a curated record.
AUUCCUUCAUUUAUAGUCUGCCACUAUAUAUUCGUUUUCCUAUAUAUUGAUUUCCUAGGGCCACCAUAACAAAUACAAACCAGGUGGUUUAAAACAAUAGGAAUUUACUAUCUCACCAUUUUGGAGGCCAGAAGUUCAAAGUCCAGGUGUUGGUGGGAUUGGUUUCCCUGGAGGAUCCCUUACAGCUUUGGAUGGCACUGCUGGGUGUCCUUAGCCUGUAGCUAUGUAACUCCAGCUCUGCCUCCAACUUCAUGUGCCCCAGCCACGCUGUCUCCUGUUCUUAUGAAGACACUUGUAUUGGAUUUAAGAAGAACCUGGAUAUGCCAACAUAAUCUCAUCUCAAAAUCUGCAAAGACUCUUCCUGACCUUCCAGGUAUCAAGACAUGGGACCAUCGGGCUGGCUGGGGAAGCAACAUGAGGUGCACUGUCAGACUUGGAAACCACAAACUAAGCAAGUGCCAUGAGACUGGGAGCUCGAGACCAUGCAGGCUGCCAGCCAGAAAGGCAGAGGAAAUGGCUUUCCUGAUGUUUUCAGGUAGGCCCCCAAAAUGUCUCCUAGUUGCCUCAAUUAGAUGCAUUUGUAACACAGUGGGAUGCACGAGAGGCUCUCAUUCACGCUUUAUACACAGCCCCACGCUCUCAUGCAGCAGUACGGGCAAGCCAGUCCCAGUUUUGCUGACGUACAGCUGGCCUGACAGCUCUACCAUCCCAGGGCAGAGAAGUUGAGCAGUUAGGAGCUCUGGGGUUCCUGGUGCCACACAGGAUCUGAGUGUCAGCCCUGAAUCUGCCUGGUCUUGGCGUGCUCAGGAAUGAGAGGCACAGUAUGGAACAAAAUGCCAUUAAGCGCCAAGUGCCCAUCUUUUAAGUGGAUGGUCUGAGAGGGUCUUUCUAAAGGCUAACACAGUGAAGCACGGCCACCCCACCUCACGUCCUGUGACAGCAGUGCAUGGGUGACUGUUAGUCCAAUCUACAAUGCCCAGGUGUUCGGGAGAGCUAUCAGCCCUGGUGCUGCACGCAGCCGCACAGCACAGGCUCUCUGGUGUGGUGCUGGCCUGCUGGCUGCCUUGCGAGAGCCUCCUGUCCACUUUUCAGCUUUGGCUUCUGGCUGGCUGGUUCCCUCACUGGUUGCAUAACCACCGUCUUUCUCAAUGGCUGUUCCUGCUUAGCCAGGUCUCUGUGACUUCCUCUCCAGCUCUGUGACAGUCACCUGCCCUCUGGCUGCACUGUCUGCCUUUUAGAAGGGAACAGAUGCCACAGAGUAAGAGGGUAAAUGGCUUCGGUUGCAGAAUCAGAUUUGGGUUUGAAUCCCAGCUGCCCUGGGGGGCGGGUAUUGGCCUUGCUAAGCAUCAGUUUUCUUCAAUGAAAUAGGUCCUUUGAGGGUAUACUUCGUGAGGAUGAUGCUUCCCCAUCCACGCUCCCUCCUUUUUCAGCCCCACCCUGUCUGUAGGUUGUUUCUGCCUUCAGUUCCACAUGGGCCAGGUGCCUCCCAACAUAGUCUGGGCCUUGAUCACACUACUCCUGCUCAGGCCUUACUCUGUGCAGACUAACACAGGUGUAAGCUGCCCCUGUGUCAUGCCAGUUGUGUCCAGAAUAGUCUUUCCCCAGAUUCCUGGUCCCCAUUGCCCUAGACUAGUGUCAGGGGACCCUCUCUCUGUGUGAUACGCUCUUGGGUCAGCCUGUUCAGUGAUGGCUGUGGUAUACACACAGAAUGCUUGUCCUCCUUGGAUAUGUACCUGAGAAAAGGUUCAAGCUCCUCCAGCUCUGCUGAGCCUUCCCUAGUGGCCUCACUAGUACCCCCACUUUCUGGGAACUCACCCUCCAGGGACAGGACAGGCUGAGCUGUGAGCAGCAGGUGUGUGGGGACUGCAGAGGUUCACAUGGACAGCAGCUGCAGCCUGGGGAGGGAGGAGCCCAAGCAGUUGUCAUGGAGGGACAGGUUGGGAGCCUGCCUUGAUGGCUGCAUAGGGUGCAGGUGGACUCUGCUCUUCAGCUGGGGCAAGCCCCUUGUCUAAGUGUCUCGGCUGUGUGAGAGGUGGGUAGGGCGUUCUGCCUUAGAAACAGGGAUGUGCGAAACGGCUGUCACUUCCCAUGUGGACACUUCUGCACGGGGUUUAGAUUUCCCCCACUGUGCUGCGGGCUGCUCCCUGGCCUUUACCAUUUCCCCCAGUUUUGUGUGGCUUUUGAACCACUGCCAAUUUAAAUUUGUCCUAGCCAGAGGCCACUCCAUUCAGAGGUACAGACUGAGUCAUCAGGAUCCUAGGGGGAGAACAGUGGUACCUAAGAGGAAGAACACUCAAAAGGGACGAUGGCUCCUUACAUGGGGCUGGAGAGGCGAUGAGGCAGCUGGGAAGUAGCAUCGCUGCAGGGCACAAAUAAACUAGUGAGGAGUUCCGGUCAGCUCAUUGGUUUCAAUCUAUUUCUUUUACCUCUAAACCUAAGGCCUAGAGAGCAGAAAGGCUGAUGGCACUGCUUGGGCAGGUCAGGGAGCACAAGGUAUUCCCAGGCUCCCUGAGACUGGCACAGGGACUGCUUGGGCAGGGGCUCCAUUGCCCGGCUAUGUGACCUGAGGUGAUUACUUAAUCCCUCUCAGCUUCAGGUUCUUUGGCUUUGCAUGGAUUUAAGGAUAGUGCUCACCUCUUAGGGUUGCUCUGAGAUAACACAGACAGAGGGUUCAGCAGGUGUCCAGGGCUGUGUGGAUCCUGAUAGAUGGAGGCUUAAAAGACACAGGUAUCUUUCCUUUCAAGCUUAUAAAUCUAAGGAAAGUUUAAUCAAAGCCCCCAAAAUAGUCAUUCCCUGUGGACUGCUCUGGAGAGGGGAUGUCUCCUAAUGUCAGACAGAGACUGGGGAGUAGGGUGUCCAUGGAUACUGUGACUAGGAUGGUUACAAGUGGGAGUGUCUCAUCCACCACCAGCCAGGGCAGACAGGCUAAAGAAGAAGGCAUCACCCAGGAGGGUCCUGGUCAGCCUUCACAUUUGGAGAGGCCGGGCUUCCCCUAGAGAAAGUGACUCCUACUCUUAUCCGUGUUUGCAUUUAUAUUCUUUAAAUUUCAGCAUGACUUUGAUGCCAGAGACACUGGAUGCCACAAACAAGCAGUUUUAUUUCCCCUCCUAAACCCCCUGUGAUUUACUGGCUGGCUCUGGUGUAAUCCCAUUCUUUCCUCAUGAAAGGGAGGGCAGCUGUUUCCACGGCUGUGGGACGAGGUCUGCCUGACAGAUGUGGGCCCAGGGAGCACGGCACAUGUGCUGCCUUUGGCAUUUUGCCCUCUUAAAAGCUUUCAAUUGAUUAUUUUAAAAAACUUUUUACUCCAUGAAAAAUGUAAAUAAGUUUGUAAUAACAGAUGCUCUUUUAUGGGAAUUACUUUUAUGCUUCAAUUAAAAUUUUCCCAAUAGCCAUAUGAAAGAGCGUGAAAUUAUUACCUCCAAUAAAGGCUCCCAUUGCCUCGCUCUUCGGAAGCACCUUUCAUCAGAGUAGAUCAAAGUGCAUCCAAAGCACUAAUUAACUGAGCCUCAGAGCCAUCUGUGAGCAAAGGUACUCCCUAUGGCCUCACUUGUUAAGGAAAGUUAGGGAACAGCAAAGUUGAUUCAUUUGUGGAAGGUCACACAGCACCAUGACAAAGGAUAAACCCGUGGGAGGGUGGAAGAAACAGGAAGUACGGCUACUUAAACUCUGAUCUACUUUGUAAAAGUAAAACAAAGGUCUUGAAUCUACUUGGGGACUCAUUCUGACACCUAUAACACCUCCAGAGCUCCAGGGCAGGUUAAGUCACUGGAUGCUUGGUGACCAUGUUGUGCAUGCCAGGUGCUCUUUCUAUCUCUGUUAACUUUUUAUUUGAUAUGUAUUUAAAUGGUUUUGACUUUUAAAAUGGUGGUCCAUGCAUGCUUUUGAUAGGAGAUUAGAAUAAGGAAGUCCAGGGACUGAAAAUGGAGAAGGCUGCCUAAAACAACAGGAAGCACGUGGGAGUCCCCAGCUCAUCCUCCCACAUAGGGGUGCAGAAACUUUGGCACAGGCUUGCACUUUCACUUGGUUUCUGCUCAGGAACUUUCCUGCGCCCUUCUCAGUCCCCUCGAACCAGGGCCUGGGCAAGGAAGUCUUUAUCCUGCCCCUGUGCUGCUUGUUAGAGGUGGCAGUAAAAGGCUCCCGAGCAUCAUUGUCAGGCGCAGCCACAGAGCUCCUCAGUGGGGUCUUUUGGUGGGUCUCAGUGAUCACGUGUGACUGGGCCAAGGAGAAAGGGUGAGCCAGGGGGACGGUGGCAGUAUCUACCUGUGGACAGGGCCUUCUGAGCAACCCAACAGGAAGUACACUCAGAGCUGGUGCUGUGGCACCACCCGAGGCACAGAAUGUCAGUGUUGGUAGAAUUAUAGGGACUUCCUCAUGGGAAAAGACAAAACUCCACUCUUUCUGUUCCUUGUGAAUGUGAAAGGCAAGUGCUAGGGUGAGAGAGCUGCUUUCCAUACAUGGCAAUGGCCUAGGAUGGCUGCACAGGGUUACCUGGGAGGACAGUGCAGCCUGAGGUUCAGGAGAUGCCACUGCUGCUGCCCCAUGGCCCUGCUCCUGACAGGAGGGCUCAGGAGCAAUGGUAGGUGCUCCAUCCAAGCCGCGCCACUACAGCAAUCCUGGCACGGCCCCUUUGGCCCCAAAUGCUAACAAGUACAGCUUUCUAAAGGCCUUUUCUGUUUGUUUCAGGGCUCAAUCUCCAGCAUUCUAGAAGCUGGUGACUUAGAACCCUGGCAAGGAGGGCCCUGGAGAAGUGACAGGCAGUGAGGCCCCAUUUCUGAGGUAGCACUGCUCUGAUAGGCCCCCGCAUCAUGGCAGUGUUGUCAAUAUACUCUCCCUCUAAAAGUUUCUUUAGCUUCCAGAACAGACCUAAGACAUGACACAGGAUGGAUGAUUAUGCCCGUUUUACAGAGUUGGGUGCAUUUAUGUGCCAUGGAGAAGGCUAAGCCAGGACUCUACUCCAGGCCUAAUACCAAUACCCCCAAAGAAUCUGAAUACUGCUUUCUGGCACUGGGAAGUGGGCAUCCAGGGAAGGAGUGGGAUGUAGCAAAAUCCUACCUGCAUCCUCUGCUCUUAAAAGGCUACUCUGCCAGUGGUGUGCCUCUGGGUUGUCUGUCUGUCUCAGGGUUAAGUAUGCAUUGGUGAGUCUAUCUGGGGUAUCUGAGGGUUAUGAUGCAGCCAGGCCCAGUACUGUCGUAUUAUCUCCUAACUCUUUGUUCAGUACCAUCAGGUCCUGUUUGUUCAUCCGCAGGCCAUCAGAUCAACUAGAGCAAUGGGACAGGAGGUAAAGGAUGCUUGAGAAUAAAAAGGUAAGGAGAAGGGAGGCAAAUCGCAUAGUUCCAGGCUUAUUCUGGGAAGGUCACUCUUUAGCAUUCCUAUAUUCCAUUCACACCUCCUGCCUUCUCCACUUAAGUUUUAGUGUCCUUCUGAACUCCCCAAGUCUCUGUAAUCCCCUUCAAUGAUGACACCUGCUGUCAUAAAUCACAUUCUGUAUCAUC